CCCAGUGGAUCUUAUUUUCCGAAAGCCAAUUGGACAAAAUAUCUACUGAUGUUCUCGUAGACAAAGGAGCAUAAAUUGACCUCAGGUUUACCCCUAAACGAGGGACUGGAACGGCCUUCAUUGAGCACAUUGGACCUCUACCCAGUGUGAAAACAUCACGAUGCGUCUGUGGGCGAGGAAGAAGGCUGAGCAGACUUUUGGGCAGGCCACCAACAGGAUGUGUCAUACUCCGACAAGUUGACAAGAAUGUUAUUUAAGAAGGGGCACCUG
Long non-coding RNA from Ailuropoda melanoleuca (giant panda), 270 nucleotides. RefSeq lists it as uncharacterized. NCBI's taxonomy places the organism in Eukaryota, Metazoa, Chordata, Mammalia, Carnivora, Ursidae. The transcript is spliced from 3 exons. The record is from RefSeq and is a predicted model, not a curated record.